UUUUUUUUUUUUUUUUUUUUUUUUUUUUUUUUUUUUUUUU
Molecule: non-coding RNA, 40 nt
Filed under: Prorocentrum micans
Lineage: Eukaryota; Dinophyceae; Prorocentrales; Prorocentraceae
Also listed under: 1 other name
Source: RNAcentral